This 214-nucleotide long non-coding RNA is filed under the name Mytilus galloprovincialis (Mediterranean mussel). The record is from RNAcentral. Lineage: Eukaryota; Metazoa; Mollusca; Bivalvia; Mytilida; Mytilidae.
CUUUCGGAGAACUAUUUCAUGAUUAAUAAAAUAUCUAGUCCUGUUCAUUUAUUUAAGACAAUACUAAUCGUUUUUGAGUUUUGAGUUUACAUAGAAUCGUAAAUAUGUAAUAAAAUUAUUGAAAUGCUUAAAAAAAUUGUUUGUAACAGGGAAUUGACAUUGAAACCAUGAAUUCCAUCUGUGAUGUUGUAUCAAAUAGCUUUCCAUAUUCUCG